This 504-nucleotide ribosomal RNA is filed under the name uncultured bacterium. Its description in RNAcentral is "bacterial SSU rRNA". It matches the Rfam family "Bacterial small subunit ribosomal RNA", at positions 32 to 511 of the family's 1533-position model. The record is from RNAcentral.
AAUCAACGCUGGCGGCGUGCCUAACACAUGCAAGUCGAACGCGAAAAUGGAGCAAUCCAUGAGUAGAGUGGCAAACGGGUGAGUAACACGUGGGUGACCUGCCUUCGAGUGGGGGAUAACGUCCCGAAAGGGACGCUAAUACCGCAUAAUAUGCUGUCUUUUAAGAGAGAGACAUCAAAGCCGGGGACCGCAAGGCCUGGCGCUUGAAGAGGGGCCCGCGCCUGAUUAGCUAGUUGGUGGGGUAAUGGCUCACCAAGGCAACGAUCAGUAUCCGGCCUGAGAAGGCGGACGGACACACUGGGACUGAGACACGGCCCAGACUCCUACGGGAGGCAGCAGUGGGGAAUUGUUCGCAAUGGGCGCAAGCCUGACGACGCAACGCCGCGUGGAGGAUGAAGAUCUUCGGGUCGUAAACUCCUUUCGAUCGAGACGAAUGGCCCUUGGGAUAAUACCCUGAGGGAGUGACGGUACCGAGAGAAGAAGCCCCGGCUAACUCCGUGCCAG